This 301-nucleotide ribosomal RNA is filed under the name uncultured vent bacterium. RNAcentral's name for it is "bacterial SSU rRNA". It matches the Rfam family "Bacterial small subunit ribosomal RNA", at positions 1039 to 1331 of the family's 1533-position model. The record is from RNAcentral.
UUUUUAUGGCCCGGUCUCCAGCUCGUUUUCGGGAGAAUGUCAGGUUUAAGUCCCGGCAAAAGAGGGCAACCCUUCCCCCUUAGAUGCCCACCCUUCAGCCGGGACACUCCAAGGAGUCUGCCGGGGCUAACCCGGGAGAAAGCCGGGGACAAGCCAAAGUAUCCUGGGCCUGACGGCAAGGGCUCACCCCCGUUACCCAAGGGGGUACACAAGGGCCACAAAGCCAGAGACGAGGGGGUAAUCCCAAAAACCCGUCUCAGUUCGGAUUGGAGUCUGCAACUCGACGACCAUGAAGUUGGAA